Molecule: ribosomal RNA, 253 nt
Filed under: uncultured bacterium
Lineage: Bacteria
Description: partial 16S ribosomal RNA
Rfam family: Bacterial small subunit ribosomal RNA
Source: RNAcentral
UACAGAGGGUGCGAGCGUUAAUCGGAGUUACUGGGCGUAAAGGGCGCGUAGGCGGUUAUUUAAGUUAGAUGGGAAAGCCCGGAGCUCAACUCCGGAAUUGCCAUUGAAACUGUUAGACUUGAGGAUGAGAGAGGUGAGUGGAAUUCCCAGUGUAGAGGUGAAAUUCGUAGAUAUUGGGAAGAACACCGGUGGCGAAGGCGGCUCACUGGCUCAUUACUGACGCUCAGGCGCGACAGCGUGGGGAUCAAACAGG